This 253-nucleotide ribosomal RNA is filed under the name Sutterella wadsworthensis. RNAcentral describes it as "partial 16S ribosomal RNA". It matches the Rfam family "Bacterial small subunit ribosomal RNA", at positions 524 to 776 of the family's 1533-position model. The record is from RNAcentral. Lineage: Bacteria; Pseudomonadati; Pseudomonadota; Betaproteobacteria; Burkholderiales; Sutterellaceae.
UACGUAGGGUGCAAGCGUUAAUCGGAAUUACUGGGCGUAAAGCGUGCGCAGGCGGUUCUGUAAGAUAGAUGUGAAAUCCCCGGGCUCAACCUGGGAAUUGCAUAUAUGACUGCAGGACUUGAGUUUGUCAGAGGAGGGUGGAAUUCCACGUGUAGCAGUGAAAUGCGUAGAUAUGUUGAAGAACACCGAUGGCGAAGGCAGCCCUCUGGGACAUGACUGACGCUCAUGCACGAAAGCGUGGGGAGCAAACAGG